CUGCGAUAAGCGCCGGUAAGGUGAUAUGAACCGUUAUAACCGGCGAUACCCGAAUGGGGAAACCCAGUGUGACUCGUCACACUAUCAUUAACUGAAUCCAUAGGUUAAUGAGGCGAACCGGGGGAACUGAAACAUCUAAGUACCCCGAGGAAAAGAAAUCAACCGAGAUUCCCCCAGUAGCGGCGAGCGAACGGGGAGGAGCCCAGAGCCUGAAUCAGCAUGUGUGUUAGUGGAAGCGUCUGGAAAGGCGCGCGAUACAGGGUGACAGCCCCGUACACAAAAGCGCAUGUGCUGUGAGCUCGAUGAGUAGGGCGGGACACGUGGUAUCCUGUCUGAAUAUGGGGGGACCAUCCUCCAAGGCUAAAUACUCCUGACUGACCGAUAGUGAACCAGUACCGUGAGGGAAAGGCGAAAAGAACCCCGGCGAGGGGAGUGAAAAAGAACCUGAAACCGUGUACGUACAAGCAGUGGGAGCACCCUU
RNAcentral lists this ribosomal RNA (481 nucleotides) under Salmonella enterica subsp. enterica serovar Goldcoast. RNAcentral describes it as "partial 23S ribosomal RNA". It matches the Rfam family "Bacterial large subunit ribosomal RNA", at positions 66 to 586 of the family's 2925-position model. Lineage: Bacteria; Pseudomonadati; Pseudomonadota; Gammaproteobacteria; Enterobacterales; Enterobacteriaceae. The record is from RNAcentral.